Molecule: small RNA, 28 nt
Filed under: Bombyx mori (domestic silkworm)
Lineage: Eukaryota; Metazoa; Arthropoda; Insecta; Lepidoptera; Bombycidae
Description: ovarian small RNA-10668
Source: RNAcentral
AAGGUGUGGAAUGUCUAGUUUAGGACCU